Long non-coding RNA from Salvelinus namaycush (lake trout), 283 nucleotides. RefSeq lists it as uncharacterized. The record is from RefSeq and is a predicted model, not a curated record. The transcript is spliced from 3 exons. NCBI's taxonomy places the organism in Eukaryota, Metazoa, Chordata, Actinopteri, Salmoniformes, Salmonidae.
UGUUUCUCAUGUUUUCAGAGCAGAAGAAGCAGUGGAAAUGCUGAAGACCUUUUUAUAAACAGGAGAACCCAAAUGCCCCCAAGCCCAAGACAAGGAAGGAGUGAGAUACUGUUGAUGUCCAGCAGGGGGCAAUAUUCGUUAAGUAAUGAGCAUAGUUUGGAUGGACAGUGGACACUAUCCAUGGCCUGUAAAGUGCCUUGCUGCUAUAACAGCCUCUACUCUUCUGGGAAGGCUAGAUGUUGGAACAUUUCUGUGGGGACUUCCAUUCAGCCACAAGAGCAUU